UGACAUCCACAGAAGAAUCCAGAGAUGGAUUUGUGCCUUCGGGAACUGUGAGACAGGUGCUGCAUGGCUGUCGUCAGCUCGUGUUGUGAAAUGUUGGGUUAAGUCCCGCAACGAGCGCAACCCUUAUCCUUUGUUGCCAGCGAUUAGGUCGGGAACUCAAAGGAGACUGCCAGUGAUAAACUGGAGGAAGGUGGGGAUGACGUCAAGUCAUCAUGGCCCUUACGACCAGGGCUACACACGUGCUACAAUGGCGCAUACAAAGAGAAGCGACCUCGCGAGAGCAAGCGGACCUCAUAAAGUGCGUCGUAGUCCGGAUUGGAGUCUGCAACUCGACUCCAUGAAGUCGGAAUCGCUAGUAAUCGUGGAUCAGAAUGCCACGGUGAAUACGUUCCCGGGCCUUGUACACACCGCCCGUCACACCAUGGGAGUGGGUUGCAAAAGAAGUAGGUAGCUUAACCUUCGGGAGGGCGCUUACCACUUUGUGAUUCAUGACUGGGGUGAAGUCGUAACAAGGUAACCGUAGGGGAACCUGCGGUUGGA
This 540-nucleotide ribosomal RNA is filed under the name Salmonella enterica. Its description in RNAcentral is "bacterial SSU rRNA". It matches the Rfam family "Bacterial small subunit ribosomal RNA", at positions 982 to 1522 of the family's 1533-position model. The record is from RNAcentral. Lineage: Bacteria; Pseudomonadati; Pseudomonadota; Gammaproteobacteria; Enterobacterales; Enterobacteriaceae.